UCAGUGGUAGCAACACAUGUCCGCAAAGUAAUGGUAAUAUGGUGAUGAAUCAAGAUGGGAAUGAUUUUUAAGUCUUGUAUCAUAAGUAGUUUUAUCUGUCGUUGAUGCUAUAUUUUAUUUUGCCCUGGGUGAUUUGAUUUGGGGCAGGUUUCCGAAGUUCAGUCGAGACUCAAGACCACGUGUUUUAGAGACGAAGUAACGUUAGCUAGCCUCCCCCUCUUAGCAUAGUUUGGGUGAGGUCAGUUGAUUUAACAGUUCUUGUUGUUUGUUUAAUUUUGGUUAAGUAUUUAAAUGACUUGACGUUACCCAGCGGUAGUCAGCAGUUCAGACCUGUACCGUGCCUGAACUAGUGUUACACUGCUGGAAAAGAAAGGCGCAGCCAGUUUGACUCUACCCAGAUGCUGCUGUUUUAGUGGUGUCUGAUUCUGAGUCAUGGCUGUGCUGUGUCCCCUCUGAGAGUUGAAUGUUCCCAAAUACACUGGGGCAUUCCUAGUCUGGGGACAAACAUUCAUUGCUUCCCAUAUAGAUGUGUACUGGCCAUUUCUGUACCCCUUUUUAAUCAUUAUUCAAAUCUUGCCAUUUUUGUUCAGGAAGGAUUGGCCCUCCAGUGGUGUGAAGUGGCAAUUUUGCCCUGGAAUGGUGGUUAAUCAUCGUCAUGAUGUAGGUGUAUAACUCCAGAACCCGCUCAGGAUGUUAGAAGGGCGUAAGUGUAUGAAUCGACAACCCGUGCCUGCUCAGGAUCUGUAGUAGGUUUGUAUUGGAAGCUUUUUUUCAAGUAAGACGACAACUGCAUCAGUUAACCUUCAUCUAGUUUAUAUUGUAUCAAGUGUUAUGAGGAAUUUGUGUAUAUGUUGAACAGGAGAAUGUAUUUGAAUAGCUGUUGCUGUAGUCAGCAUUUUAGUCUGACAACUAAUGUAGGAACCGUGUCAGUUUGCAGUGCCUUGAUUUACAAUUCAUUAAGUGCUAAAGUCUUUUUACUAUAGUAAAAUAAGUCUAGUCUUGUUUGUGCCAAAAUUGCAGUCUUUACUCGAGUGUGAAUACUGGUAACUGGUCAAUUCACAUUACCUGUGCUCGAAUGAAAUGACUACUGAUGUAUGUUUGUUUCUCAAUAAAAGGGUGGAAAUGUCUGUCGUGUUUCCCUGACUUUGUUGACUUGUCUAACAAAUACUAGAGAACAGUAAAAUUCCAUAUGUGCUCUAUUUACACUGUCUGAAUGGGCAAUCCUUAACUUGUGGUCUAUGCUGUAGAAUUUUUUUAAGUGCUUUAAACUGCUUCUCUGCAGCAAGCAAGAUUGUUCAUGCCCUCCAGUUUCACAGCCAGUGUCUCACCAAACAAAACAGUGGAGGGUUACAAUAUAUUUGAGCUUAGAUUCUCAAUGUAAACACAACCUGUAAUAGGGUUGUAGCAUAGCUGUCAUUCUAAUUGACCGGAAUUCUCUCAUAUGUGCUUCAUGUAACAGAAUAUACUUGCUAACAACAUUUAUCACCGUCAGUCUAGAAGAUAGCUUUGUAGGGACUUUUGGCAGUCAACUGCCAACGCUUCACUUACGCACUUUAGGCUUAUGGACAGUCCACUUAGUGCUCAAAGACUAGCAUCCAGUGCGGAGAGGUUCUAGAUGAAUGUGCAUUUGAAUCUGGAACAUUAUCCAAAUUCCAAGUCACAAGACGGACCAUAUGGGAUAUACAGUAAACCAACUGCUGAAGGCAAGACUUAAGAACCAUGAUAAACGGCAACAAAAAACAGGCCAAGAUCAAAACACAGGAAGCCAAACAACCUAGGGGUGCCUAGAUUGAAUUGAACAGGCACAUUUUCAGGAUCAGCAUGCCUCAGUACAGAUUUAAAGACUUUGCAAGGACCUCAAGACGGAUGUGUAGUACCAGCAUUCUUACUAUCAUUAUCAGGGCAGUUACAGCUCCCAAACACAAGGUGAAGUAAUCUGAUUUUGUGUAAUGGCGGAGGAAAUGGUAUUUUAUCUGGACAGGCACUUAUUUUUAUUUGUAAGGGGAUUUCUUGAACAUAAAGUAAUUUGGUAUUUAAAGACAGAUUUGACAAUAUUAAAAUACAAGAACAAAGAAAUAAAACAUUUUCCUAGUGGUCUGGCAGGUCAAGUUCAGUAUGAGCAACUUAUUCCUUAAGGUGAAAUAGAGCAGCUCCUGCCUUUGAUGCAGGAGAUUAUCACAGUCCACUCUCCACGUUUGCCUAAAUUGUACAUCAA
Molecule: long non-coding RNA, 2215 nt
Organism: Clupea harengus (Atlantic herring)
Lineage: Eukaryota; Metazoa; Chordata; Actinopteri; Clupeiformes; Clupeidae
Source: Ensembl